Molecule: long non-coding RNA, 790 nt
Organism: Nomascus leucogenys (northern white-cheeked gibbon)
Lineage: Eukaryota; Metazoa; Chordata; Mammalia; Primates; Hylobatidae
Exons: 3
Source: RefSeq, a predicted model, not a curated record
CCGUGAAUGGGAGUCGCGGACGGGCUCCCAAGGAAAACAGGAAUGUUGGACCCAGGAGGCAGGAGGAUGGAAGCUGAGCCAGCAACACAGUAGAUGCCCUUAUAAAGCCACGUACUGGCGGGAUCAGCGGCACCUGGGAGCCUGCUGGCAUGAGAUUCUUGGAUGUGCCUUGCACCUGCCAAGUCAGAAUGUCUAGAGGAAGGACAGACCAGCGGGGAGGACUCCCCCCGGCCCUUCCCCAGUGCAACCUGAGGCCUGAAUCCCAUCAACGUCAGACCCGGGCGCCUAGCUUCCCUAUCAAAGUGGACGUGUUGUGAGGGCAGAGGAUGCUGACGAGAAGGAGAAUAAGGGAGUAUAAUCAUAGCAGCUUUGCUGAGAAGAUAAGCUCGCUGGCACUGGCGAAGGCCUGGAAUGCCUUCCCAUGUGUGAUAGACAGGGAAGAUGCAUUUCCCUGCCCCUGCCUUACAGCCUAGCCACAACCCUGCGGUCACAUACAGAACUCGCUACGUGCCCGAAAGCAGUGACUAAGCCAGCGCUGGGAAACGGUGGGCCCUGCAGUGUCCUGCAGAUGUGUUCUGUUCUCUCUCACGUGAUGGACAACUAUGGACACAGGAGCUGGCGGCCACAACAGGGACCUUUGUCUGUGUGUCCUUUGCCCCAGCGUCUGCUUUAAUUCAGAACUACACCAGCAGCCCUGAACUUCCAUUGACUGUUCUCUCCAAAGAGCCUCUCUGAGGCCAGGCGUGGUGGUGCACGCCUGUAAUUCCAGCUACUCAGCUACUCGGGAGGC